GAUUGCUUGAAGAGAGAAAAAUGACACAGGACGGAUAACCACCAACUUAAUGCAAAAUGUGUGUGUCAGAGGCCCUCCUUGUUGGCAUUUAUGGAGACUCUUGUCUCCUGCAAACAGAAUCACAGAGCUAAAGGUCAGGUGUAAGACUUAGUUGAGAAUGACACUUCAAUAAAGCCUGGUGGUAAUGUUUAUUGAGCAUUUACCAUGUUCUAAACAUCAUGCUAAGCACUUUAUGUAGAUCAUCUCACUUAAUCCUCACUGCAUUAUGAGCUGGUUUCAAGUAUUAGCACCCUCAUCUUACAGUUGGGAAAAACUGAGGUUCAGAUUAGUUCAUUCAUUUGCUCAAAGUCACAUAGCCCAUAUGUGGCAGAACCAGCAUCUGAACUCAGAUCACUGCCUCCAAAAGCUGAGCUCUUAAAACUAUGUCUUAUAUUAUUAAACAUCAAACAUUAUAAAGCGGUGAAACUCUGUUCUUGUCAUCUGUGUGAAAAACAGUUUUGAUCCAAGAUGUGAUAAAAUCAUUCAAUUAGAGAAUCUUUGAAUUGUAAUGGGUCCUGUGGGAUUAUCAAACCCAACCUCCCACUCAAUGGAGGAAUCCCCUUUCAGUCUAUAGGCCGGUGCAUGUAACAAGUGCUUAAUUGUGUUGAACUGGAGAAGACAUUCUGGCAGCUGAUUAUCCAGUUUCUGCAUGAACCUCUCCCAGUGAUGAGGAGUUCAUUGCCUCCCAACGCAGCCUCUUCCAUGUUAAAAAGCUCUGCUUGCCAGAAUCUUCUUUCUCUGCUGAAAACGACAUUGAUCUGUAGUUUUCCAUCUUUCUCUCAUUGCUCCUCGUUGCAGGAAAAAAGUUGACAGUUUUACGAUUUGAACAUUUGACUGAAAAGUUUUUUGCUGCCAUUCAGUCACCACAUCCAUCGUUGCCUGCCCUUCCCAACCUCCAAAAGGAAAGGGAAACAAAACAUUACGGUUGUAUUUUGUUUCCUCAAGUUUGGUUAAGUUAGAGCAAGAUUUGUUCGCUCAAGACGCUUCUUCCUUAUCCUUUUUAACAUUAAAAUGUUGGAAAGGAAUAAAAGCAAAAAAGGAACAGAACAGUAGAGUCUACUUUCCAAUUACAUCAAUAAAUGGGUGCACGGAGCAUGUUGAAUUCGAUAGAAAUGUUUGCUACGCUACUGGGGCAGGGAGGAAGCCUGUGGUUAAAUCUAUCAAAAGUUUUUGUUGUUUUUACAAAAGUACCGGAGCCAUCUGUGUGCGACCCAGCCAUUAGCUUGGGGUCCUCUCCCUGCAGAAGGAACAAUUAGAAACACCAUGUGCUGGUUCUCAAAACUUGUGCCCUGCACCUCCACCCAGAAGGCUAGAUUUUCCAUUAGUCCCUUAUUUCUAUCUUAUUGGUAAGGAGCUGCUUCUAAACCUUUCUCUUUUCUCCUGACUGAAGGAGGAGGUUAAAUACCCCUUAGAUUUAGGAAGGCCCAGGGAACCACCGAGACGGCGAGACCUCCUGGAUUCCUAGAGAACACUGAGGGGGGGGGAGGGGCUGUGACGCACUUCCGGUAGGUUUUCCCGGACUUGUGUUUGUCUUGAACGUCUGAUUUUCGGCUCGUUGUCUCUCUGCCCGGGCGACCCAGGCCUUCUGAGUUCCCGUCUGCGGGUGGCGGUGGGGACACGAGAUACAUGGUCACUGUCCCUAGCAUCUGGCCCCGGUAGGGUGUAGAGAGAAGCCCCGCACCCUUGGUUCCGUCUGCCCCUGCCCAAACCACCUUUGUGCUUUGACUUAACCUAAAUGAUGGGGUCGAUUAAGAAAGACUGGAGACAAAACAAGGCGCUAGCAUCUUUCUGCCCUUGUACAGAAUCAUAGGAAAACCUUACCAGAAAGUGCAGCUCCGGUGGUUUGGAUCCAGGAAGAAAGAACAACCUAGAGAUGUUCCAGAAAAAAAGAAGCUACAAAAAUUAGGGUGGUCGCAGAUUUGAACCUGUCAAAUCACUGAUAGCAGAACUAAGAGAAGCUCGUUAAAAUCAGCAUGAGAUAAGCAUCCAACAUGCCUAGCCAGAGGCAGAAAAUAGAGCCAAAACUGGACAGGUGGACUCUCAGAGUUCACCCUAACAUCAGAGUUAUCGCUGAGAUAACCCUACUAAUUUCAAAGGUCGUGAACCUUCAUAUCAAGGCAAUCUUGUCUUGAUCUCGACAUCUCUGACCCUUGCUCAGUAUUGUUUUCAUUGGCUGCAAUAUAAAGAUGCUCCCGUUCUCUAGCGUAUCCAGACUCCAACAGCCUUUCGAUAUUGCUGGGACCUCCAAUGCAUUUGUUUGGAUAGUCACACGUUUGCUGUCCUUCACCCAGUGAUGUGCUCUCCACCCUCCAUACCUACCAUAAAGUGCACAGGCAGUCAUCAUUAGUCAACCCCCCCAUCCCUCUUUGCUUUGGCACAGCCACUUGACAAAAUCACAAUCAUGAUUAAAGUCA
RNAcentral lists this long non-coding RNA (2453 nucleotides) under Equus caballus (horse). RNAcentral's name for it is "lncRNA (ENSECAG00000057079.1)". Lineage: Eukaryota; Metazoa; Chordata; Mammalia; Perissodactyla; Equidae. The record is from RNAcentral.